Molecule: ribosomal RNA, 492 nt
Filed under: uncultured bacterium
Lineage: Bacteria
Description: partial 16S ribosomal RNA
Rfam family: Bacterial small subunit ribosomal RNA
Source: RNAcentral
AGUGAACGCUGGCGGUAGGCCUAACACAUGCAAGUCGAACGGCAGCACAGUAAGAGCUUGCUCUUACGGGUGGCGAGUGGCGGACGGGUGAGGAAUACAUCGGAAUCUACUUUUUCGUGGGGGAUCACGUAGGGAAACUUACGCUAAUACCGCAUACGACCUACGGGUGAAAGCAGUGGAUCUUCGGACCUUGCGCGAUUGAAUGAGCCGAUGUCGGAUUAGCUAGUUGGCGGGGUAAAGGCCCACCAAGGCGACGAUCCGUAGCUGGUCUGAGAGGAUGAUCAGCCACACUGGAACUGAGACACGGUCAAGACUCCUACGGGAGGCAGCAGUGGGGAAUAUUGGGCAAUGGGCGCAAGCCUGAUCCAGCCAUACCGCGUGGGUGAAGAAGGCCUUCGGGUUGUAAAGCCCUUUUGUUGGGAAAGAAAAGCAGCAGGUUGAUACCCCGCUGUUGUGACGGUACCCAAAGAAUAAGCACCGGCUAACUUCGUG